CAAACCUCAAGCCUUGCUUGGUGAUGGGCCCCGCCCGCGCGGCGGGCCCGAAACUCGUGGGCGCCCCAGGCCGGACUCCAAGCGUAGCAAAACCCUCGCUUGCGGACGACCGGUCGGAGGCCGCCCCGGACCCCAAUUUUUAUCAAUGG
Molecule: unclassified non-coding RNA, 149 nt
Filed under: uncultured Venturiaceae
Lineage: Eukaryota; Fungi; Ascomycota; Dothideomycetes; Venturiales; Venturiaceae
Description: sequence contains ITS2
Source: RNAcentral